UCCAGGGUAGCCUAGUGGACAUGGCAUCUGCCCGGUAAGCGGAACGUUGUGGGUUCGAUCCCCGCCCCUGGAA
This 73-nucleotide transfer RNA is filed under the name Cordylochernes scorpioides. Its description in RNAcentral is "tRNA-Thr". It matches the Rfam family "tRNA". From Rfam's summary of the family: Transfer RNA (tRNA) molecules are approximately 80 nucleotides in length. Their secondary structure includes four short double-helical elements and three loops (D, anti-codon, and T loops). Further hydrogen bonds mediate the characteristic L-shaped molecular structure. tRNAs have two regions of fundamental functional importance: the anti-codon, which is responsible for specific mRNA codon recognition, and the 3' end, to which the tRNAs corresponding amino acid is attached (by aminoacyl-tRNA synthetases). tRNAs cope with the degeneracy of the genetic code in two manners: having more than one tRNA (with a specific anti-codon) for a particular amino acid; and 'wobble' base-pairing, i.e. permitting non-standard base-pairing at the 3rd anti-codon position. The record is from RNAcentral. Lineage: Eukaryota; Metazoa; Arthropoda; Arachnida; Pseudoscorpiones; Chernetidae.